This 465-nucleotide ribosomal RNA is filed under the name Vreelandella stevensii. RNAcentral describes it as "partial 16S ribosomal RNA". It matches the Rfam family "Bacterial small subunit ribosomal RNA", at positions 338 to 795 of the family's 1533-position model. The record is from RNAcentral. Lineage: Bacteria; Pseudomonadati; Pseudomonadota; Gammaproteobacteria; Oceanospirillales; Halomonadaceae.
CCUACGGGGGGCUGCAGUGGGGAAUAUUGAACAAUGGGGGGAACCCUGAUCCAGCCAUGCCGCGGGUGUGAAGAAGGCCCUCGGGUUGUAAAGCACUUUCAGUGAGGAAGAACGCCUGGUGGUUAAUACCCAUCAGGAAAGACAUCACUCAUAGAAGAAGCACCGGCUAACGCCGUGCCAGCAGCCGCGGUAAUACGGAGGGUGCGAGCGUUAAUCGGAAUUACUGGGCGUAAAGCGCGCGUAGGUGGCUUGAUAAGCCGGUUGUGAAAGCCCCGGGCUCAACCUGGGAACGGCAUCCGGAACUGUCAAGCUAGAGUGCAGGAGAGGAAGGUAGAAUUCCCGGUGUAGCGGUGAAAUGCGUAGAGAUCGGGAGGAAUACCAGUGGCGAAGGCGGCCUUCUGGACUGACACUGACACUGAGGUGCGAAAGCGUGGGUAGCAAACAGGAUUAGAUACCCUGGUAGUC